RNAcentral lists this signal recognition particle RNA (299 nucleotides) under Zalophus californianus (California sea lion). RNAcentral describes it as "Metazoan signal recognition particle RNA (ENSZCAG00015008484.1)". It matches the Rfam family "Metazoan signal recognition particle RNA". Rfam says of the family: The signal recognition particle (SRP) is a universally conserved ribonucleoprotein. It is involved in the co-translational targeting of proteins to membranes. Lineage: Eukaryota; Metazoa; Chordata; Mammalia; Carnivora; Otariidae. The record is from RNAcentral.
GCCGGGCGCGGUGGCGCGCGCCUGUAGUCCCAGCUACUCGGGAGGCUGAGGCAGGAGGAUCGCUUGAGCCCAGGAGUUCUGGGCUGUAUAGUGCGCUAUGCCGAUCGGGUGUCCGCGCUAAGUUCGGCAUCAAUAUGGUGACCUCCCGGGAGCGGGGGUCCACCAGGUUGCCUAAGGAGGGGUGAACCGGCCCAGGUCGGAAACGGAGCAGGUCAAACCCAUAGAAUGUAUAACACAAAGAGUGACCCUAAUGCAAACUACUGACUUUAGUUAAUAAUAAUAUUUCAAUAAUGUCUCCU